AUACGUAGGGUGCGAGCGUUAAUCGGAAUUACUGGGCGUAAAGCGUGCGCAGGCGGAUUAUUAAGCAAGACGUGAAAGCCCCGGGCUUAACCUGGGAAUGGCGUUUUGAACUGGUAGUCUAGAGUGUGUCAGAGGGGGGUGGAAUUCCACGUGUAGCAGUGAAAUGCGUAGAUAUGUGGAGGAACACCAAUGGCGAAGGCAGCCCCCUGGGAUAACACUGACGCUCAUGUACGAAAGCGUGGGUAGC
Molecule: ribosomal RNA, 247 nt
Filed under: uncultured bacterium
Lineage: Bacteria
Description: partial 16S ribosomal RNA
Rfam family: Bacterial small subunit ribosomal RNA
Source: RNAcentral